This 510-nucleotide ribosomal RNA is filed under the name uncultured bacterium. RNAcentral describes it as "partial 16S ribosomal RNA". It matches the Rfam family "Bacterial small subunit ribosomal RNA", at positions 28 to 507 of the family's 1533-position model. The record is from RNAcentral.
GACGAACGCUGGCGGCGUGCUUAACACAUGCAAGUCGAACGAAGAGCGAUGGAAGCUUGCUUCUAUCAAUCUUAGUGGCGAACGGGUGAGUAACGCGUAAUCAACUUGCCCUUCAGAGGGGGACAACAGUUGGAAACGACUGCUAAUACCGCAUACGAUCUGACCUCGGCAUCGAGGAUAGAUGAAAGGUGGCCUCUACAUGUAAGCUAUCACUGAAGGAGGGGAUUGCGUCUGAUUAGCUAGUUGGAGGGGUAACGGCCCACCAAGGCGAUGAUCAGUAGCCGGUCUGAGAGGAUGAACGGCCACAUUGGGACUGAGACACGGCCCAGACUCCUACGGGAGGCAGCAGUGGGGAAUCUUCCGCAAUGGACGAAAGUCUGACGGAGCAACGCCGCGUGAGUGAUGACGGCCUUCGGGUUGUAAAGCUCUGUUAAUCGGGACGAAAGGCCUUUUUGCGAAUAGUGAGAAGGAUUGACGGUACCGGAAUAGAAAGCCACGGCUAACUACGUG